Molecule: long non-coding RNA, 751 nt
Filed under: Salvia miltiorrhiza (redroot sage)
Lineage: Eukaryota; Viridiplantae; Streptophyta; Magnoliopsida; Lamiales; Lamiaceae
Description: long non-coding RNA (SMIL_LNC001482)
Source: RNAcentral
GAGGGUUCAAUGCUAUCACGAAGGGAAUUGCUGAGUUUAGUUGCCUGAUUAGGAAUCUGAAGCAUAGAAAUUGCACUGUUAAGUGGUGAACUAUUUUACUCGUGUUUGGGAUUUUCAUCUAAUUCUCUAGGUGAUACAAUUUGAUGAUUUUUAUUUACUUGUCUGGGGACAAUUCGACACGUUAAAUGAACUUGUAAAACAUACUUGAAUUUUGAUGUUCAUAGAUAUUUGUUGGUUAUUAUAGUGAAAGGCAUGUUCCUUACAAGUCAUCCAUUAUCUGUCAUGAAUUUUGUUAGCUUAACUGCGUUAAAUUUUGAUUUGGGUACAUACUGGCUCAAAGAUCGUCUUCUUGUGAAAAUGAAUAUUGUUGGGGUAAAUGAAUUACAAUUGUUGCUUUUGCCUAUAUCUUACCUUGGUGGAAUUCAACUUAAAUUCUAGACAGGACCAAAUGGACGAUAAUUCGUAAUUUAUUUCUCAUUCUUAUGAGGAUAUAUUCUGUAUUUGAAUAGUUAAUUGCAAUUACUUGCUGAUUAAUGCGAGGGUCAUGUGGAGUGGAGCAAGACAAAAUAGCAAAAGAGAAAAAUAAAUUAGUGAAACAAGAAGAUAAGGUAUAUUCCCUCGAGCCGAUGAUAGGGAGAAUAGCUCGGCGAAGAAAAUGGCGACUUGCUUGUCAAUGGUGAAGUUGGGUUAUAUCUCUCUCUCAACUCCGUCUGGUUUUGAGUUAAUUGGGAAAUGAUUAUGCAAACUGAAG